Non-coding RNA from Pelodiscus sinensis (Chinese soft-shelled turtle), 3609 nucleotides. Lineage: Eukaryota; Metazoa; Chordata; Testudines; Trionychidae. The record is from RefSeq and is a predicted model, not a curated record.
CUUGACAAAGCCCUGGCUGGGUUGAUUUAGUUGGGAUUGGUCCUGCCUCGGGCAGGGGACUGGACUUGAUGACUCCUGAGGUCUCUUCCAGCUCUGUGAUUCUAUGAUUCUAAUACAGUCUAUAAAAAUUGAACCGAGGAGCCAAUCGUCAAUAACAGGCUGUGCCGGCAGAGACUGGCCUGGUAUGAUCCAUAAUUAAUGAUAUUUACAUAUUGGGUGCCAUCUGUAGGCUUCAGAGUUAACACCUCAUUGUGGUUAAUGGGGGAAGCUCAGAUCUCUCUCAGCACUGCUCUUGCAGUUUGUGGACCAAUGAGGCUGGAUGUUUCCGCGUCGCACUUUCAGAUGCACUAGCCAACCAUAAAAGUCAGGGUCAUUUAGUUUCUGGAGAAAAAGAUGGACCAGAGUGAGUGGAGUUUCUGAGCAAAGUGACUGGGAGGGAGUAUGGCGGAGUGGUGUGCGCUCUCUGCUGCAUACGGUGUAUUAUUAUCAGCACAAUGGGAUCCUGAGCUAUGGCUGGGGCUAAUUUAAAUAAAUAAUAUAACCAAGCAGCAAUGAGUUCCACAGGUUAAUUCUGUACAUGAGUGGAGUGGGGAGGUAUCACCUUGCCUCUGUUUCAGAUGCCUUUGUUUUUUCCAUUUGCGAUUAAGCCCCCGGGUUGCUCAGAUAUGAGUAAGAGGGUGUUGGCAGGAGGGUUGGUCCGAGCUAUCUCAAGUGUACCAAAAGAUAAAUAAAAUGGGAUUGGAUCCGAUAGGCCUGGAGUCAGUGCCACAACUGGUUUCUGUUCUCUUCCCCUUUGUCCGCUAAGUGCUCGAAAAAUGUUUGCUCGUGAUAUGAUUUAGUUUCAGCCUCGUCAAUGAUUAACAGGGUGAGCGCUUGCCCUGCAGGGCUUCGCCAGGCACAGCUCAGACGGAUACCGGGGUCUGGUCCGUCAUUCCGUACCAGGUCACAUGUGGUUGGGAGUAAAGGGGGGGGGCUUACAGGUGUGUGGGGAUGGGGGGAGCAGGGCUGCUCGUUUGGCGAAAUUUGGGUACCGCUGAGCCUGGGAAAAUUCACCUCCGGCCCGGCAGCCUUGCCUCACUUUGUCCCACCUACACCUAUGCCAAGGAAUCGAAGGAUUCUGGGAUGCUCAGCCAUGGGCGGCAUGGUUGCCAUGGCGUUGGGCUAGGCCUCUGCCCUGGGAGAAAUCACCCAAGGGCCCCAGAGCAGUGAAGCAUCUUCUGUCCACCUCCCCAGGGUGCCCCUGCCUCAGGGAACUGCACAGUGCAACACCCCCCAUGGGGGGGGGGUAUUAAUACAGCCAGGGGGUUAAUAGCAGGUGCCCCCUUUGUUCUGCUUGGGUUCUUGCCCUCCCCUCGUGCCUGCAGAAACCGGGUGCCUUCCAGUCAGGUCCUAAGUGAUGUGACUCACCCACGGCACAAGUGCUUCCUCCGCUGUCCCUUUUUCACAACGAGGGAUUAUGCCGGAGAAGGCAAAGCAGAGCCAGUUUGGGAGGAGCUCUCCGCCCUAGGGCAGAAUGGGACUGGCCCCCGAGGAAGCUCUGUCUCCUGCCCAGGCAAGCUCAAUGUUUGUGGCAGAGAGAUCCGCAGGCCAUGAGGGGCAGAGACGUCAACCUCCAUCCCCAGCCUAGAGCUUUUGGCACUUACAUUUCUUCGCACCGUGCACAGUUAACCUGCGGAACUCCUUGCCAGAGGACGUGGUGAAGGCCAGGACUUGAACAAGGCACUGAAUUCCUUAGUAUCCACAUAGGGCUGGUGUCAGGCAAUACAGGGCCCUGUGUGACCGGGCUGUAAAUUCCUAACUGAGAAGACAGAGACACCCUGGCCGGUCUGUUCCGCAUGCAAAGCCUGCUCCUGAGGGUGCCGUGCCCUGGUGGGGGCAUUCACCUCGCCCUGCCCAGGGACAAAGGCAGCUGGCAGGGAGGCGUGGUCCUGGCGUCCCUGCUGUGCCGUACGGGGCAGCCAGACAGGAAAAUGCGUCCAGGACGCGGUGUGCCCUGCGUAUGGGCUGGGGUGCGAUAAACGGGCGACCUUCGAGAGCAGAGUUAACAGCCGAAGCCGCGCGACUUGCAGGAGCAAGGCGAGAACAGCGUUCAAGGACGCGAGGGCGGGCGUCAUAGGCAGCGUGGCCUAGGGGUGAUAGCUGGAGGGGGGUGGCAUGCCAGGACGCCUGGGUUCUAUUCCUGACUCAGAAAUGAGACCCCCCCCCCCCCCUAGGAGUCAGAGCUGGGGGGGUGGGAUGAGGCACCCUGAUGCCUAGGUUCUAUUCACACAGCUCUAGCAGGGCAUGGCUAACAGGGCCGGCAGUGUUAAUGUGGCAGUUGUAGGCAGUGUUGCCUAGGGGUUAUAGCUGAAGAGAGGUGGGGAGUCAGGACUCCCGGGUGUAACAGGGCCGGCAGUGUUAAUGUGGCAGUUGUAGGCAGUGUUGCCUAGGGGUUAUAGCUGAAGAGAGGUGGGGAGUCAGGACUCCCGGGUGUAACAGGGCCGGCAGUGUUAAUGUGGCAGUUGUAGGCAGUGUUGCCUAGGGGUUAUAGCUGAAGAGAGGUGGGGAGUCAGGACUCCCGGGUGUAACAGGGCCGGCAGUGUUAAUGUGGCAGUUGUAGGCAGUGUUGCCUAGGGGUUAUAGCUGAAGAGAGGUGGGGAGUCAGGACUCCCGGGUGUAACAGGGCCGGCAGAGUUAAUGUGGCAGGCGUCAAAGGCGCAGUCAGGUCCGGAGGGAACAAGACAAGCGCUUCCCUGACUGGUCCUGCUGGUGGGAGUAGGGAUCCCCCCAGGACCAGCCGUAAGACCGUGUGCGGCUGUGUUGGUGCGGGAAGGGAGGUAGGAGGGGGCCUGACUAGCCAGGGAACGAAGCUCUUUCCUCCCAAGACCGCUCAGACAAGCAGCAGUUUCUCUCCCGGCAAGAGGCUCCACCAGAGAAGCCAGGAAGGAAAAAACCGCCGGCUUUGUAGGACUCAGUCUAAACAACCCACGCUCCCCCCCCACCCAUAUCCUUCACCGCUGGGAGCAGACGGGGCAGCAUCCCCCUCUGUGUCCGCACAUCACAAACCCAGCACCUCUCGGCCCGGGGGCCCCGCCCCGCGAUUGCUGGGUAAACUGAGGCAGGUCACCUCCCUGCUCUGUGCCUCAGUGUCACCCUCUGCAAAAGGGGGACAGUGGCCCUUGGCCUCCUCUGCAAAGCCCUUGGUGAUCAGCCACUCAGCAGUAGGUGGUAUCGGCGCAGCGGGCGUCUUUGCGUUCCCCUCGCUCCCAAAGGACGGGGGGGGAGGGGAGGGUCCAUUGAUACGUUAGUGAUUGGGAGGGUGCUGGGAUCCUAUGGCGCAGGGGGUCCGUAAGACAGAGGAGGAGAAUCCGGCCCUGCUGCCUGCACAAGAGCAAAGCCUGAGAGCACCGACGUGACCCGUUUCCCCUGGGAGGUUUCCUGAGUUCGGGGGGAAGCGUCUCCCGCAGGGAUCCCGGGCCGGCACAUCCUCCCUUUGUCGGUCCCAGGGACGUCCGGGGCAGCCGGGAUUUCGUGCAGGCGAGAACGAGCAAGAGCCUCUGGGAAUGCGAACUGGGGGGAGGGUCACCCACGUUAGCCUCUUUCCGCUCUGCCAGGGACUCUGCAGCGGCA